UGUAUGAAAUGUUUGCCACUGGUAUUGUUUGUUGCAUCCCCAAUUGCUCUCGGAAACCAAGUUCAUAGCACACUUGUUUAUUCCGGUAGAUGUGCAUGAGGUUGUGGUGCUGGAGCUUCUUGUUGUACUACUGGAAAAUCCAGCUGAUGCUCAAACACUCGACCCACUUGUGUGCCUAUUUGUUUUUGUCUUUUUGACGACGGGGAUUGGCGUUGGUGAUGUGCAAGCUGAGUGGUAUCAAGCAACUGCGAAUUGUAUUUUAUAACUACAUGUAAGUAUCUUGAUGUCUUGCUUUUGAUCCAUGAUGAUCACUGUUAUUAACACUAAGGUCCUAACUUCUUCUUAUAUGCAGUUGACGAG
Long non-coding RNA from Lolium rigidum, 360 nucleotides. RefSeq lists it as uncharacterized. The transcript has 3 exons. Lineage: Eukaryota; Viridiplantae; Streptophyta; Magnoliopsida; Poales; Poaceae. The record is from RefSeq and is a predicted model, not a curated record.